This 440-nucleotide ribosomal RNA is filed under the name uncultured bacterium. Its description in RNAcentral is "partial 16S ribosomal RNA". It matches the Rfam family "Bacterial small subunit ribosomal RNA", at positions 338 to 795 of the family's 1533-position model. The record is from RNAcentral.
CCUACGGGUGGCAGCAGUGGGGAAUAUUGCACAAUGGGGGAAACUCUGAUGCAGCAACGCCGCGUGAGUGAAGAAGUAUUUCGGUAUGUAAAGCUCUAUCAGCAGGGAAGAAGAUGUCGGUACCUGAUUUAGUAGCUCUGGCUAAAUACGUGACAGCAGCCGCGGUAAUACGUAGGGGGCAAGCGUUAUCCGGAUUUACUGGGUGUAAAGGGAGCGCAGACGGCAGUGCAAGUCUGGAGUGAAAGCCCGGGGCCCAACCCCAGAACUGCCCUGGAAACUGUGCGGCUAGAGUACUGGAGGGGCAGGCGGAAUUCCUAGUGUAGCGGUGAAAUGCGUAGAUAUUAGGAGGAACACCAGUGGCGAAGGCAGCCUACUGGACAGUAACUGACGUUGAGGCUCGAAAGCGUGGGGAGCAAACAGGAUUAGAUACCCGAGUAGUC